AGAGCAUCUGCCAUAACCAAAAUUUUCCUUCGCACAAGCAUUCCUUCAGUGUUCUUUCGCUUUACUCUCAAGGAUUUCUCCAACUAACAAGAGGAAAAUGGAUCUCAGAAUCAUGGGCCUAGACUCCCCAAUCUUCUCCACUCUCCAGCACGUGAUGGACCUCGCCGACGAGGCCGACAAGUCGUUCAGCGCCCCGACCCGGACAUACGUUCGGGAUGCCAAGGCCAUGGCAGCCACUCCGGCCGACGUCAAGGAGUAUCCGAAUUCCUACGUUUUCGUCGUCGACAUGCCAGGGCUGAAGGUGGGGGACAUCAAGGUUCAGGUCGAGGAUGACAAUGUGCUACUGAUAAGUGGCGAGAGGAAGAGGGAGGAGGAGAAAGAGGGAGCUAAGUAUGUGAGGAUGGAGAGAAGAGUCGGCAAGUUAAUGAGGAAAUUCGUGUUGCCGGAAAAUGCUAACACUGAUGCCAUAUCAGCGGUUUGUCAGGAUGGGGUGCUGACUGUGACUGUCCAAAAGUUGCCGCCACCUGAGCCUAAGAAGCCCAAGAUCGUUGAGGUCAAGGUCAAUUGAUGGGGCGAGGAGUAUCAGUGAUUUCUCCAAUCCUUGGAUCAUGAGUUUUCAGAAUAUGGAACAUGGUUUCUUUUUCUUUCGUUCGUUUUUUUUCUUUUUUUUACUCUCUUUCUUCUUUCCGUUGGUGGUGUUUUCUGUUGUAAUGACUGUAAUGUGGGGGUUACCUCUGUAGUGUGUG
Molecule: unclassified non-coding RNA, 746 nt
Filed under: Hevea brasiliensis (rubber tree)
Lineage: Eukaryota; Viridiplantae; Streptophyta; Magnoliopsida; Malpighiales; Euphorbiaceae
Source: RNAcentral